AUAUUAAGAGGAGAUUUGCCCACUUUCCUUCCGUCUUUGAAAUCACUCCACAUUGUUAGAUGCGAGGAGCUUGGUUAUUAUCUGCCAAGAGCUCCCAUCCUACGCGAAUUAACAAUAGAUGGCAAACAGAAAGCAAGAAUGCGGGACCUACCACUUUCCAUGUUGGAGAGACUAUUGGUUAAUGGAGAGCAGCAGGUGGAGUAUGUGAUUGAGGCCAUGACCCACACCCAACCAACCUCUCUCAUACACCUACAGAUCUCAGAGUGCUCAUCAGCCAUAUCAUUUCCAGGGGAUUCUUUGCCCCCUUCAUUGGAAGAGCUAUCAAUUGAGGAUUGCAAGAAUGUAGAAUUCCCAAUGCAACACCAACAACAUCAGUCACUAAGGAGUCUUAGAAUAGACAACAGCUGCAAUUCACUUACAUCCUUGGCAUUGCCAGCGUUCACAAAUCUCAAGUAUCUCAGAAUCGCAAGCCGUAAAGAUUUGACAUCUCUGGAGGUGUCACAGUCACAGUCCCUUGAAUACUUAUCAAUUUCAGAGUGCCCUAAGCUGGGGAAGAUAAUAAGGCUGCCUGGCUCUUUAAGGGAACUCUCCAUCAGUAACUGUCCGUUGUUGGGUGAAGGCAUAGGGAGGAAGGACCCCCCACAUUUGGCCUUCCAUUUCCCACAUCCCUAACAUCUAUGUCAAUAGGAAACGGAUUCGCAAAGACUCAACAUCUUAAAGCAGAAAACACAAAACUGAUUCCUCUCUUUUCACACUGUUCAUCACCACUCUACUCGAUGCCUACUUUUGGGAACAUAUAGUAUGGGUAUACAAUGUCAAUUUUCGUCUUUUUUUUCCCCUAAUUUCUUCUUCUUUGUUCUUCAUGUAUAGGGACAUUUAAUGAUUCUUCUGGGACUUAUCAAUUUACUACAGUUCGGUUGUGCAACUCCAUUCUUCUACUUUUGCUCCAUGCCUUGUCUUACACCCAAAUGGAAGGUCUUUCAUUAUCUUUCUUCGUGUUGCUCCUGCUUGCUUGCCCGUGCCCUUUGUUAGAUUUGGUAUAAGUUUAUCAUCUUAUUAUUAAUUCUGUUGAAGUAAGAAACUAAUAAACUUUGUGAGAGUUAAGUCCUAUUUCAGUCCCUGAGAUUGACGAGUUGCACUAAUUUAGUCUUCCAAAUUCCGAUUGCAUUUAAUUAGUCCCCCAGAUUCAAAAAAAUGUACCACGUUAGUCCUUAGCCAUAUUUCCAUCACCGAAGGACUGACGC
Molecule: RNA transcript, 1244 nt
Organism: Arachis duranensis
Lineage: Eukaryota; Viridiplantae; Streptophyta; Magnoliopsida; Fabales; Fabaceae
Exons: 3
Source: RefSeq, a predicted model, not a curated record